RNAcentral lists this transfer RNA (73 nucleotides) under Salamandrella keyserlingii (Siberian salamander). RNAcentral describes it as "tRNA-Gln". It matches the Rfam family "tRNA". From Rfam's summary of the family: Transfer RNA (tRNA) molecules are approximately 80 nucleotides in length. Their secondary structure includes four short double-helical elements and three loops (D, anti-codon, and T loops). RNAcentral also lists the same sequence under 1 other name. Lineage: Eukaryota; Metazoa; Chordata; Amphibia; Caudata; Hynobiidae. The record is from RNAcentral.
CUAAGAAGUAGUGUAAAUGGAGGCACGAAGAGUUUUGAUCUCUUAAGAAUAGGUUCAAGCCCUUUCUUUUUAG